Triticum aestivum (bread wheat) is the source of this 422-nucleotide long non-coding RNA. RefSeq lists it as uncharacterized. The transcript is spliced from 2 exons. The record is from RefSeq and is a predicted model, not a curated record. NCBI's taxonomy places the organism in Eukaryota, Viridiplantae, Streptophyta, Magnoliopsida, Poales, Poaceae.
GCAUAAGAAUAAGCUUAUAAGAACAGAAUAUUGAUACUCUGCGAGCUAUGAGUAGAAUGCUCUAUUUUCACGAGUCACCUUUCUUGUAUGAACGAGUAUCUCAUUUUAACUAGCUGGAGAACAAAAAGCAUGGGCGACCGAGGAAGGCAUGUUGUCUGUUUUCUUGAAGGCCGUUCUGUUUGUUCCCAGCCCUAACUACGGUUGUCCAGCUAGUUCGGCAUGUUGUUCAUAUCACUAUGGUAGUCCAACGAGUUUGGCAUGUUGUGAGUUUGGCAUGUUCAUGACGGGAGCAGGUGCCAGUUUGUGAUUGCUUGUAAAGCUUGUAAAGUACUGUAUUACACUUGUAGUCAUUACUGUGAUUGCCACCGUAUUACACUUGUAAGGAUCUGGUUGCUCUUAUUUGAAGUAUUAUGUGUGCUUUU